Triticum dicoccoides is the source of this 2910-nucleotide RNA transcript. RefSeq lists it as uncharacterized. The record is from RefSeq and is a predicted model, not a curated record. The transcript is spliced from 3 exons. Lineage: Eukaryota; Viridiplantae; Streptophyta; Magnoliopsida; Poales; Poaceae.
UCACGCGACCUCAACCACGGUCUCCAUGAUUAGAGCACUGGGAAGGGAACCUUCCUCCUGCCCCCGCAACCUCCCUUCCCAACACUCCUCUCCGCACGCCGCCAAGUCCGCAGCACCUCGCACCGGCACUGCACCGCCCGGCCCCGCCGCCUCCGCACCAUCUCACACUGCCAUCUUGCCGCCCCCGCCUACCUCGCAGUCGCCUUGCUGCCUCACCUCACACCGGAGCCGCGUCUCCGCCCCGCACCACCUCGCCUCGCGUCGGCGCCCGACACGUACGCCCAUCAUUACCGUCGACGUUGUAUUACCACGGCCACCCCUACUGCGGCCGUCGUCUCCACAUCGGUGCCACGCUGGCAGGUGGAUCUGGUCGACUUCAUCGACUGGACUGGCGUCAAGUGGGUCAACCAGGACUCCUCUCACAACAUCACCGGCGCGAGGUGAGGUGAGGUGAUCGUCCUCUGUGCGUCCUGGGCAGCACUCUCGCUCUCACACCUCCAUCCCCUGUUCUUGAGCUGAUGAAGUGAUUUUUUUAGUUUCUAGAUCUAAUUUAACUUGUCUACGUUGAUAAUUUCUUACGAUAUAGGAGCUUGAUGGCAGCAUGCCUCACCUGAUCUUUUGUCCCCAAAUCUCAGACAACAAUACGCGGCUAACAAACCAUUGACGUACGCACUCUAUGAUUUUGCAUAGUAUCAAUGGACGCGAUGACCCGAUUAUCGCUAGUGCCAUCUCUGAUUUCUAUGGAUGAGCUUGGCUGUAAACCGCCGCCAGCCACUUCUGCCCUGGAUCAGUCGUCCGGCUAAUGUGAUAUUUCACAUGCUCAACACACUUAUGUUCUUCUUACUAUUAUGAUAGCUAAGUUUUGCAGUAUUAUGUGGCUAUAUAGCUAAGACCGCUUGCAAUUUCAACUGUACAGUUCUCAUCAAUUUCAAUAAGGAAACAAAAUAAUCUUUAUAUUUCUCUUUCAUCCAACUGGGUCAUCCUCAAAAUACUAUUUUGUACAAAUUUUUCCAGGUGUGACAUAUGUAAAUGUAAAUGGGACUGCAACUCGAUCAUCAUUGAGUAGCAUCCUUUCAGGAGAUGUGAGUAUAAAGGAUUCAAAAAGUACAAUAAAGGUCAAAAAUAUUGGGCAGCUGGUAUCCAGUGUGCCCCUAGAGGCACAUUCCAUUUCUUCAAUACAUGAUACAAUGUGGCCGAUGUUGGUUUGUUUCUCUUCCUGGUGACUUCUUUUUAUUUAUUUAUUACAAGUCGUGAUCCUGGAUGACUUCCUUCAUUAUACUAAUCUGAAAGCCAAGUUUGAUUUAGUUGAGUUCUUGCACGCAACUCCUCAUGCAAUGAAUGAGUAAGGCAAUUUUGAAAGUGAAGGAUCAUCAAUAUAGUUUUUUUGCUGCUUUUGUCACAUGCUUAUCUUUGACGACAAGCUCUUUAUUAUGCAUUGUAGUCCGGCGGAUGUCUCUUACAUUGGUAUUUAACUUUAUAUAUUUGAGCUAUGUCUCUAUUUUUUUUUGCAACAACAAAUGAAGACUGACAUUCAUUCGAGGCUGCUUCUGCUUUUCAGACAUAGUGGGGACAUUUAAGAUUUAUAGCAAAUAUAUGAGAGUCGAGAAAUGAACAUAACCUCAAGUUAUAUUUUCUAUUGUAACUAGACAUAUAAAAUAAAAUGUUUCUUCAUUUUUCACUCAUCAAGGUUUCCAAGUGCCAAAAACAGUAGAUAUACAAAGUAACUAUGGAAACCUAGAUAGAAAUAUUAUAUUUCUUUGAUGGGCCCCAGUUUCAUAUGAGGAAAACAAAUCAGGUGUGUUCCUUCUAUGUCUAAUUUGUAUAAGUGCAGAUUUUCAUGAAAGUUUUUUUAUUAGGCGGAAAUGGUUGACUUAUUCAACCAACUAUCAUGCACCCAUCAUUCAGAUAUGUUCAUAUGCAUUUCUUUCUUUUUUAGGCUUGGAGAGUUAUACUUGGAAAUUGAUGUUGGCCAAAGUUACUUCAAUGGAAUGGUGCCAGUAUGUGAUUUAAAUAUACUUGAAGAACAUUUACCUUAUUUUUCAGGUUUUAGUAACCAUUUUUUGUUGGUUGUCAAUAUUGCUACAUGGGUACUUGGGUUGCUGUACUGGGCACAUCUUAGUUCAAUCACUAUCUAUAGUUUCAGCUCAUUAGCUCAUGAAUUACCUUUGAAAGUAUGGUACCAUGUCAUAUAAUGAAUAUAAUCCUGGUUGUUUUUUGUUGUCAUUUUCUUACAAUGGCAGUAAGUACUAUUAUAUACGGCAAUAUGAGACAUGCUUGUGAAGUGGCAUUUCUAUUUAGUGAUUUACUGCGAGGUAUUAUCGAUCUCCUAUGUUGAGUGUCGACAGAUGGGAAAUUUAAAUUCUGUCGCUUGGGCAAUAUGAGUACUUGGGUUGCUAUACUGGGCACAUCUUAUUUCAAUCACUAUCUAUAGUUUCAGCUCAUUAUAUUAGCUAAUGAAUUACCUUGGAAAGUAUGGUACCAUGUCAUAUAAUGAAUAUAAUCCCGGUUUUUUGUUGUUCUCAUUUUCUUACACCGACAGUAAGUACUAUUAUAUAUUGCAAUAUGAGAUAUGCUUGUGAAGUGGCAUUUCUCUUUAGUGAUUUACUGCAAGGUAUUAUCGAUCUCCUAUGUUGAGUGUCGACAAAUGGGAAAUUUAAAUUCAGUAUGAAUCUGGAUGAAGAGGAGGCAGAUAACAUAAUCUUGGUGAAGAUAUUUCAAUGGAGACAACAUAGUGUUGCAUUUUUAGUAGACCAAUAGAAAAUUGUAUUGCUUGGUUGUUACAUCCCCUUUUCAAUGUAUUUUUUUACCCAUUAUUGCCAUGGAAUAGAUGAUAUCUAACAAUCAAGUUCGAAGUUACUAUAAAAAUAUCAUAAAAUGGUCGGGCAUUGUUGUCCACUACAUUAUGUUCCA